RNAcentral lists this unclassified non-coding RNA (141 nucleotides) under uncultured fungus. Its description in RNAcentral is "sequence contains ITS2". RNAcentral also lists the same sequence under 1 other name. Lineage: Eukaryota; Fungi. The record is from RNAcentral.
AGACCCAUCAAGCCUGGCUUGGUAUUGGGCGUCGGGCUGACCGCCCGCGCCUCUAUUCUCCCGGCUGGACGGUUAGAAUCUCAGCGUUGUGCAAUCAAUUCGCUAGAGAGGACGACCGGCCGCGCCGUUAAACCCAUCAAA